This 823-nucleotide ribosomal RNA is filed under the name uncultured bacterium. RNAcentral's name for it is "bacterial SSU rRNA". It matches the Rfam family "Bacterial small subunit ribosomal RNA", at positions 34 to 858 of the family's 1533-position model. The record is from RNAcentral.
CGCUGCGGCAGCCUACACAUGCAAGUCGAGCGGUAGAGAGAAGCUUGCUCUCUGAGAGCGGCGGACGGGUGAGUAAAGCCUAGGAAUCUGCCUGGUAGUGGGGGAUAACGUCGGAAACGGACGCUAAUACCGCAUACGUCCUACGGGAGAAAGCAGGGGACCUUCGGGCCUUGCGCUAUCAGAUGAGCCUAGGUCGGAUUAGCUAGUUGGUGAGGUAAUGGCUCACCAAGGCGACGAUCCGUAACUGGUCUGAGAGGAUGAUCAGUCACACUGGAACUGAGACACGGUCCAGACUCCUACGGGAGGCAGCAGUGGGGAAUAUUGGACAAUGGGCGAAAGCCUGAUCCAGCCAUGCCGCGUGUGUGAAGAAGGUCUUCGGAUUGUAAAGCACUUUAAGUUGGGAGGAAGGGCAUUAACCUAAUACGUUAGUGUUUUGACGUUACCGACAGAAUAAGCACCGGCUAACUCUGUGCCAGCAGCCGCGGUAAUACAGAGGGUGCAAGCGUUAAUCGGAAUUACUGGGCGUAAAGCGCGCGUAGGUGGUUUGUUAAGUUGGAUGUGAAAUCCCCGGGCUCAACCUGGGAACUGCAUUCAAAACUGACUGACUAGAGUAUGGUAGAGGGUGGUGGAAUUUCCUGUGUAGCGGUGAAAUGCGUAGAUAUAGGAAGGAACACCAGUGGCGAAGGCGACCACCUGGACUAAUACUGACACUGAGGUGCGAAAGCGUGGGGAGCAAACAGGAUUAGAUACCCUGGUAGUCCACGCCGUAAACGAUGUCAACUAGCCGUUGGGAGCCUUGAGCUCUUAGUGGCGCAGCUAACGC